RNAcentral lists this ribosomal RNA (440 nucleotides) under uncultured bacterium. RNAcentral's name for it is "partial 16S ribosomal RNA". It matches the Rfam family "Bacterial small subunit ribosomal RNA", at positions 338 to 795 of the family's 1533-position model. The record is from RNAcentral.
ACUACGGGAGGCAGCAGUGGGGGAUAUUGCACAAUGGGGGGAACCCUGAUGCAGCGACGCCGCGUGGGUGAAGAAGCGCCUCGGCGCGUAAAGCCCUGUCAGCAGGGAAGAAAAUGACGGUACCUGAAGAAGAAGCCCCGGCUAACUACGUGCCAGCAGCCGCGGUAAUACGUGGGGGGCAAGCGUUAUCCGGAUUUACUGGGUGUAAAGGGGGCGCAGACGGCGAUGCAAGCCAGGAGUGAAAGCCCGGGGCCCAACCCCGGGACUGCUCUUGGAACUGCGUGGCUGGAGUGCAGGAGGGGCAGGCGGAAUUCCUGGUGUAGCGGUGAAAUGCGUAGAUAUCAGGAGGAACACCGGUGGCGAAGGCGGCCUGCUGGACUGCAACUGACGUUGAGGCCCGAAAGCGUGGGGAGCAAACAGGAUUAGAUACCCGUGUAGUC